GGCGAACGCUGGCGGCGUGCUUAACACAUGCAAGUCGAACGGAAAGGCCCUGCUUUUGUGGGGUGCUCGAGUGGCGAACGGGUGAGUAACACGUGAGUAACCUGCCCUUGACUUUGGGAUAACUUCAGGAAACUGGGGCUAAUACCGGAUAGGAGCUCCUGCUGCAUGGUGGGGGUUGGAAAGUUUCGGCGGUUGGGGAUGGACUCGCGGCUUAUCAGCUUGUUGGUGGGGUAGUGGCUUACCAAGGCUUUGACGGGUAGCCGGCCUGAGAGGGUGACCGGCCACAUUGGGACCGAGAUACGGCCCAGACUCCUACGGGAGGCAGCAGUGGGGAAUAUUGCACAAUGGGCGGAAGCCUGAUGCAGCAACGCCGCGUGCGGGAUGACGGCCUUCGGGUUGUAAACCGCUUUCGCCUGUGACGAAGCGUGAGUGACGGUAAUGGGUAAAGAAGCACCGGCUAACUACGUG
RNAcentral lists this ribosomal RNA (468 nucleotides) under uncultured bacterium. RNAcentral's name for it is "partial 16S ribosomal RNA". It matches the Rfam family "Bacterial small subunit ribosomal RNA", at positions 28 to 507 of the family's 1533-position model. The record is from RNAcentral.